GGGCGGGUGGUGGAAUGGUAUACACGGGGGACUUAAAAUCCCCUGGCCUUACGGUCUUGCGGGUUCGAUCCCCGCCCCGCCUACCA
RNAcentral lists this transfer RNA (86 nucleotides) under Candidatus Saccharimonadota bacterium. Its description in RNAcentral is "tRNA-Leu". It matches the Rfam family "tRNA". From Rfam's summary of the family: Transfer RNA (tRNA) molecules are approximately 80 nucleotides in length. Their secondary structure includes four short double-helical elements and three loops (D, anti-codon, and T loops). Lineage: Bacteria; Candidatus Saccharimonadota. The record is from RNAcentral.